RNAcentral lists this transfer RNA (72 nucleotides) under Lachnospiraceae bacterium. Its description in RNAcentral is "tRNA-Arg". It matches the Rfam family "tRNA". Rfam says of the family: Transfer RNA (tRNA) molecules are approximately 80 nucleotides in length. The record is from RNAcentral. Lineage: Bacteria; Bacillati; Bacillota; Clostridia; Lachnospirales; Lachnospiraceae.
GGCGGAUUGGCUAAGUGGUUAAGCGCCUGCUUUCGGGGCAGGAAUUCGCGGGUUCGACUCCCGUAUCCAUUA